CAAGACUCCUACGGGAGGCAGCAGUAGGGAAUCUUCGGCAAUGGACGAAAGUCUGACCGAGCAACGCCGCGUGAGUGAAGAAGGUUUUCGGAUCGUAAAACUCUGUUGGUAGAGAAGAACGUUGGUGAGAGUGGAAAGCUCAUCAAGUGACGGUAACUACCCAGAAAGGGACGGCUAACUACGUGCCAGCAGCCGCGGUAAUACGUAGGUCCCGAGCGUUGUCCGGAUUUAUUGGGCGUAAAGCGAGCGCAGGUGGUUUAUUAAGUCUGGUGUAAAAGGCAGUGGCUCAACCAUUGUAUGCAUUGGAAACUGGUAGACUUGAGUGCAGGAGAGGAGAGUGGAAUUCCAUGUGUAGCGGUGAAAUGCGUAGAUAUAUGGAGGAACACCGGUGGCGAAAGCGGCUCUCUGGCCUGUAACUGACACUGAGGCUCGAAAGCGUGGGGAGCAAACAGGAUUAGAUACCCUGGUAGUCCACGCCGUAAACGAUGAGUGCUAGAUGUAGGGAACUAUAAGUUCUCUGUAUCGCAGCUAACGCAAUAAGCACUCCGCCUGGGGAGUACGACCGCAAGGUUGAAACUCAUAGGAAUUGACGGGGGCCCGCACAAG
This 606-nucleotide ribosomal RNA is filed under the name uncultured bacterium. Its description in RNAcentral is "bacterial SSU rRNA". It matches the Rfam family "Bacterial small subunit ribosomal RNA", at positions 331 to 929 of the family's 1533-position model. The record is from RNAcentral.